RNAcentral lists this ribosomal RNA (488 nucleotides) under uncultured bacterium. RNAcentral describes it as "partial 16S ribosomal RNA". It matches the Rfam family "Bacterial small subunit ribosomal RNA", at positions 28 to 507 of the family's 1533-position model. The record is from RNAcentral.
GAUGAACGCUGGCGGCGGGCCUAACACAUGCAAGUCGAACGGAAAGGGCGAGCUUUUGCCGGGUUUUCGCGGGGGGAAGGGGGGAGAAACACGGGAGUAACCCUCGCUUGACGUGGGGACAUCCUCAGGAGAGUGGGGCUAACACCGGCUAGGAGCGGGUGCUGCAUGGUGGGCGUUGGACCGUUCCGGCGGAUGGGGAUGGACGUAGGGUUGAUCAGCUUGUUGGUGGGGUAAUGGCCUACGAAGGCGACGAGGCGUAGACGGUCUGAGAGGAGGAUCGGUCACACUGGAACUGAGACACGGUCCAGACUCCUACGGGAGGCAGCAGUGGGGAAUAUUGGACAAUGGGCGAAAGCCUGAUCCAGCCAUGCCGCGUGUGUGAAGAAGGUCUUCGGAUUGUAAAGCACUUUAAGUUGGGAGGAAGGGCAGUAAGUUAAUACCCUGCUGUUUUGACGUUACCAACAGAAUAAGCACCGGCUAACUUCGUG